UACGUAAGGAGCAAGCGUUGUCCGGAAUCAUUGGGCGUAAAGGGUGCGCAGGCGGUAUUGAAGGUCAGUUGUGAAAGCUUAGUGCUCAACACUAAGAGUGCAAUUGAAACCGCAGUACUAGAGAGUAGAAGAGGAAAGUGGAAUUCCGUAUGUAGCGGUGAAAUGCUUAGAUAUACGGAAGAACACCAAUGGCGAAGGCAGCUUUCUGGUCUACUACUGACGCUGAGGCGCGAAAGCGUGGGGAGCGAACGGG
RNAcentral lists this ribosomal RNA (253 nucleotides) under uncultured bacterium. RNAcentral's name for it is "partial 16S ribosomal RNA". It matches the Rfam family "Bacterial small subunit ribosomal RNA", at positions 524 to 776 of the family's 1533-position model. The record is from RNAcentral.